Molecule: ribosomal RNA, 447 nt
Filed under: uncultured bacterium
Lineage: Bacteria
Description: bacterial SSU rRNA
Rfam family: Bacterial small subunit ribosomal RNA
Source: RNAcentral
UGGGGAAUAUUGGACAAUGGGCGCAAGCCUGAUCCAGCCAUGCCGCGUGGAUGAUGAAGGCCUUAGGGUUGUAAAAUCCUUUCGCCGAGGACGAUAAUGACGGUACUCGGAGAAGAAGCUCCGGCUAACUUCGUGCCAGCAGCCGCGGUAAUACGAAGGGGGCUAGCGUUGUUCGGAUUUACUGGGCGUAAAGCGCGUGUAGGCGGGUCGUUAAGUUGGGGGUGAAAUCCCGAGGCUCAACCUCGGAACUGCCUUCAAAACUGGCGACCUGGACCUAAGUAGAGGCAAGUGGAAUUGCGAGUGUAGAGGUGAAAUUCGUAGAUAUUCGCAGGAACACCAGUGGCGAAGGCGACUUGCUGGACUUAUGGUGACGCUGAGACGCGAAAGCGUGGGGAGCAAACAGGAUUAGAUACCCCUGUAGUCCCUGAGCGGGCUGGCAAGGCGCAU